RNAcentral lists this ribosomal RNA (1230 nucleotides) under Triticum aestivum (bread wheat). RNAcentral's name for it is "partial small subunit ribosomal RNA". The record is from RNAcentral. Lineage: Eukaryota; Viridiplantae; Streptophyta; Magnoliopsida; Poales; Poaceae.
AUGGCGUCGCCGGCGCCGCCCUUCCCCGAUGCCCCGGCGGCUCCGCCCUGCAGCUCCGACGCCUCGCCGUUCAUGGAGGCGCAGGUGACCCUCCCGGACCACCUGACGGAGGACAUCCUUCUCCGCCUCACCACGGCCGCCGACCUCGCCCGCGCCUCCAUGGCCGGCCCCUCCCUCCGUCGCCUCAUAGCCGAUCACUCCUUCCUCCGUCGCUUCCGCACCCUCCACCCGCCGCCUCUCCUGGGUAUACUCUCCGACCCCUUCCUCCCAGCCCAGCCGCCCCACCCCUCCGCCGCCGCCGCCCGAUCCCUCGCCGGCACCGACUUCUCCUGCUCCUUCCUCCCCUCCCGCGAGCAGCUCUGGAUUCGUCACGACUUCCGCGACGGCCGCGCCCUCCUCUGCGUCGCCCCCGACGACCGCUGCCUGGUGACGGACGUCGCCGUGUGCGACCCGCUGCACCGGCGCUACCUACUGCUACCUCCCGUCCCUCAGGACCUGUCCGAUCUGGUCUAUUACUGCGAGCCUUUCCUUGCUCCUGCCGGCGGGGACGAGGUGCCGGCCGACGCUCCCUUCAGAUUCAGAGUCAUGUGCUUGGCCAAAUACCAGACCCAGCUGGUCAUAUUUGUCUUCUCUUCAUCUGGCCCCCAUGCCGGACAAUGGCAUGCCGUCGCAUUUGAUGGUUGGAGCACUCUGGUCGCAGGAAUCAGAGACGCUGCGCUAUCCUCCACUGCGUUCGGAAAACGCUACCACGCGCACGGAUGCUUCUGCUGGGCGAUACCUGUGAUCGGCAAGUUGCUCAUGCUCGACAUUGCCACGAUGGAGUUCUCCUCCGUCGACCUCCCACCUAGUCCCUGGAGUAAUUACCAGAUGGCCUUUGUGGAGGCAAGGCAAGGGAGGCUUGGGUUGUUUGCUGUCAGCCACAAUCGCCUCUUGUAUUCCAUUUCGGGGAGCAUUGAGGAUGACCCAAGGCUGUGGCUAAUGGGGGCUGUAGUCCCAUUAUCCCUUGAUUACGCCUAUGACAUCAUUGGUGUAGCUGGGGGAUACUUACUCCUACAUGGGUAUCCAGACAGCCCGGAGUCAUCAUUUGAAUUGCCCGAGCCCGACUGCUUUUCGCUGGAUCUCCAGACUAUGAAGCUUGAGUGGUUCUGUGAGACUGGGUGGAUAAUGCCAUUGAAGAACCAACUACUGUAUGCGGGUUUCCCGUCAUCCUUGUCUCCACCAACUAUUUGA